GAUUAAGUUAUUAAGGGCGCACGGUGGAUGCCUUGGCACUAGAAGCCGAUGAAGGACGUUACUAACGACGAUAUGCUUUGGGGAGCUGUAAGUAAGCUUUGAUCCAGAGAUUUCCGAAUGGGGAAACCCAGCAUGAGUUAUGUCAUGUUAUCGAUAUGUGAAUACAUAGCAUAUCAGAAGGCACACCCGGAGAACUGAAACAUCUUAGUACCCGGAGGAAGAGAAAGAAAAUUCGAUUCCCUUAGUAGCGGCGAGCGAAACGGGAAGAGCCCAAACCAACAAGCUUGCUUGUUGGGGUUGUAGGACACUCUAUACGGAGUUACAAAGGACGACAUUAGACGAAUCAUCUGGAAAGAUGAAUCAAAGAAGGUAAUAAUCCUGUAGUCGAAAAUGUUGUCUCUCUUGAGUGGAUCCUGAGUACGACGGAGCACGUGAAAUUCCGUCGGAAUCUGGGAGGACCAUCUCCUAAGGCUAAAUACUCUCUAGUGACCGAUAGUGAACCAGUACCGUGAGGGAAAGAUGAAAAGCACCCCGGAAGGGGAGUGAAAUAGAACCUGAAACCGUGUGCUUACAAGUAGUCAGAGCCCGUUAAUGGGUGAUGGCGUGCCUUUUGUAGAAUGAACCGGCGAGUUACGAUUUGAUGCAAGGUUAAGCAGUAAAUGUGGAGCCGUAGCGAAAGCGAGUCUGAAUAGGGCGUUUAGUAUUUGGUCGUAGACCCGAAACCAGGUGAUCUACCCUUGGUCAGGUUGAAGUUCAGGUAACACUGAAUGGAGGACCGAACCGACUUACGUUGAAAAGUGAGCGGAUGAACUGAGGGUAGCGGAGAAAUUCCAAUCGAACCUGGAGAUAGCUGGUUCUCUCCGAAAUAGCUUUAGGGCUAGCCUCAAGUGAUGAUUAUUGGAGGUAGAGCACUGUUUGGACGAGGGGCCCCUCUCGGGUUACCGAAUUCAGACAAACUCCGAAUGCCAAUUAAUUUAACUUGGGAGUCAGAACAUGGGUGAUAAGGUCCGUGUUCGAAAGGGAAACAGCCCAGACCACCAGCUAAGGUCCCAAAAUAUAUGUUAAGUGGAAAAGGAUGUGGCGUUGCCCAGACAACUAGGAUGUUGGCUUAGAAGCAGCCAUCAUUUAAAGAGUGCGUAAUAGCUCACUAGUCGAGUGACACUGCGCCGAAAAUGUACCGGGGCUAAACAUAUUACCGAAGCUGUGGAUUGUCCUUUGGACAAUGGUAGGAGAGCGUUCUAAGGGCGUUGAAGCAUGAUCGUAAGGACAUGUGGAGCGCUUAGAAGUGAGAAUGCCGGUGUGAGUAGCGAAAGACGGGUGAGAAUCCCGUCCACCGAUUGACUAAGGUUUCCAGAGGAAGGCUCGUCCGCUCUGGGUUAGUCGGGUCCUAAGCUGAGGCCGACAGGCGUAGGCGAUGGAUAACAGGUUGAUAUUCCUGUACCACCUAUAAUCGUUUUAAUCGAUGGGGGGACGCAGUAGGAUAGGCGAAGCGUGCGAUUGGAUUGCACGUCUAAGCAGUAAGGCUGAGUAUUAGGCAAAUCCGGUACUCGUUAAGGCUGAGCUGUGAUGGGGAGAAGACAUUGUGUCUUCGAGUCGUUGAUUUCACACUGCCGAGAAAAGCCUCUAGAUAGAAAAUAGGUGCCCGUACCGCAAACCGACACAGGUAGUCAAGAUGAGAAUUCUAAGGUGAGCGAGCGAACUCUCGUUAAGGAACUCGGCAAAAUGACCCCGUAACUUCGGGAGAAGGGGUGCUCUUUAGGGUUAACGCCCAGAAGAGCCGCAGUGAAUAGGCCCAAGCGACUGUUUAUCAAAAACACAGGUCUCUGCUAAACCGUAAGGUGAUGUAUAGGGGCUGACGCCUGCCCGGUGCUGGAAGGUUAAGAGGAGUGGUUAGCUUCUGCGAAGCUACGAAUCGAAGCCCCAGUAAACGGCGGCCGUAACUAUAACGGUCCUAAGGUAGCGAAAUUCCUUGUCGGGUAAGUUCCGACCCGCACGAAAGGCGUAACGAUUUGGGCACUGUCUCAACGAGAGACUCGGUGAAAUCAUAGUACCUGUGAAGAUGCAGGUUACCCGCGACAGGACGGAAAGACCCCGUGGAGCUUUACUGUAGCCUGAUAUUGAAAUUCGGCACAGCUUGUACAGGAUAGGUAGGAGCCUUUGAAACGUGAGCGCUAGCUUACGUGGAGGCGCUGGUGGGAUACUACCCUAGCUGUGUUGGCUUUCUAACCCGCACCACUUAUCGUGGUGGGAGACAGUGUCAGGCGGGCAGUUUGACUGGGGCGGUCGCCUCCUAAAAGGUAACGGAGGCGCUCAAAGGUUCCCUCAGAAUGGUUGGAAAUCAUUCAUAGAGUGUAAAGGCAUAAGGGAGCUUGACUGCGAGACCUACAAGUCGAGCAGGGUCGAAAGACGGACUUAGUGAUCCGGUGGUUCCGCAUGGAAGGGCCAUCGCUCAACGGAUAAAAGCUACCCCGGGGAUAACAGGCUUAUCUCCCCCAAGAGUUCACAUCGACGGGGAGGUUUGGCACCUCGAUGUCGGCUCAUCGCAUCCUGGGGCUGUAGUCGGUCCCAAGGGUUGGGCUGUUCGCCCAUUAAAGCGGUACGCGAGCUGGGUUCAGAACGUCGUGAGACAGUUCGGUCCCUAUCCGUCGUGGGCGUAGGAAAUUUGAGAGGAGCUGUCCUUAGUACGAGAGGACCGGGAUGGACAUACCUCUGGUGUACCAGUUGUCGUGCCAACGGCAUAGCUGGGUAGCUAUGUGUGGACGGGAUAAGUGCUGAAAGCAUCUAAGCAUGAAGCCCCCCUCAAGAUGAGAUUUCCCAACUUCGGUUAUAAGAUCCCUCAAAGAUGAUGAGGUUAAUAGGUUCGAGGUGGAAGCAUGGUGACAUGUGGAGCUGACGAAUACUAAUCGAUCGAAGACUUAAUCAA
This 2923-nucleotide ribosomal RNA is filed under the name Staphylococcus aureus. Its description in RNAcentral is "bacterial LSU rRNA". It matches the Rfam family "Bacterial large subunit ribosomal RNA". The record is from RNAcentral. Lineage: Bacteria; Bacillati; Bacillota; Bacilli; Caryophanales; Staphylococcaceae.